AUGGCUCCUAAGGCUACCAAGGCCCCUGUAACUUGCAACUGGGUUCCAUCCAUAGUGACCAAUAGCAAAUUAGCUGAGUUUGUAAAGUCUGGGCAUCUGCCAAAAAAGGAUGUCAUGUCGUACCGUGCCCCUGACCCGUCUGAAGAAAAGCCUCACCCCAAAGCAGGGGAAGUAAUAAUUUUUACAGAUCAGAUGAGCCAUGGAUUUGCUCCUCCUGGCUCAAAAUUCUUCAGAGAGGUUUUAAAUUUAUUUGACCUUAGACCUCAAGACAUCGGACCCAAUUCCGUGUCAAAUAUUUGCAUUUUUCAAGUCUUCUGCGAGGUGUACCUGGGAGAAGAGCCAAGUCUGCUUUUCUUCAGGGAACUCUUUUACAUGAACCGGCAAAAUGAACGUGCCAACGGGCCUAGUCUUGAGCUUGGCGGCAUCUCAAUCUAG
Molecule: ribosomal RNA, 435 nt
Filed under: Triticum aestivum (bread wheat)
Lineage: Eukaryota; Viridiplantae; Streptophyta; Magnoliopsida; Poales; Poaceae
Description: partial small subunit ribosomal RNA
Source: RNAcentral